RNAcentral lists this ribosomal RNA (480 nucleotides) under uncultured bacterium. RNAcentral's name for it is "bacterial SSU rRNA". It matches the Rfam family "Bacterial small subunit ribosomal RNA", at positions 30 to 505 of the family's 1533-position model. The record is from RNAcentral.
AUUGAACGCUGGCGGCAUGCUUUACACAUGCAAGUCGAACGGCAGCACGGGUGCUUGCACCUGGUGGCGAGUGGCGAACGGGUGAGUAAUGCAUCGGAACGUGCCCAUGAGUGGGGGAUAGCCCGGCGAAAGCCGGAUUAAUACCGCAUACGCCCUUAGGGGGGAAAGCGGGGGAUCUUCGGACCUCGCGCUAUUGGAGCGGCCGAUGUCGGAUUAGCUAGUAGGUGAGGUAAAGGCUCACCUAGGCGACGGUCCGUAGCUGGUCUGAGAGGAUGAUCAGCCACACUGGGACUGAGACACGGCCCAGACUCCUACGGGAGGCAGCAGUGGGGAAUUUUGGACAAUGGGCGCAAGCCUGAUCCAGCCAUGCCGCGUGAGUGAAGAAGGCCUUCGGUUGUAAGCUCUUUCAGGUGGAAGAAAUAGCGCUGUUUAAUAGAUGCGUUGAUGACGGUACACCAGAAGAAGCACCGGCUAACUACG